UAGAGACGGGAGGACAGUGGUGUUGGAUACUGUUACUAGGCAGGCAGGAGAGGCUGCCUCUGACUGAGGACCUGCAGCACCAGCCGGAGCCUGCGGUCCAUGGCCUGGAGGUGACGCUGGAUGAGGAUGGGGGACAGUCGAUCACGGAGUAGAGACUCCUCCAUCAGGGAGCUCAGCUGGUAGUCCUCUUUGGCCAGCAGCUGGAGACGGAGGUGAAUAAUGAAGGUGUCAUUUCCAAACUUCUCAAAAGUUUCGUAAUGAUGUCGAUCCAUGUUACCUGUGCAGGGAGAGGGCGACGUGAUGAGAACUAAGUCAAAAAUGGUCAUAUCCAUGAUGUCCAGCAGUCGAGUGCCUCGGUCAUAUGGAGGAGUCUGCUUAACCUCAUCACAGUAAUCUGGGUCCACCUCCCACCUGAGAAUACACACC
This is a long non-coding RNA of Larimichthys crocea (large yellow croaker), 426 nucleotides long. RefSeq lists it as uncharacterized. The transcript is spliced from 4 exons. NCBI's taxonomy places the organism in Eukaryota, Metazoa, Chordata, Actinopteri, Sciaenidae. The record is from RefSeq and is a predicted model, not a curated record.